This 450-nucleotide ribosomal RNA is filed under the name uncultured bacterium. RNAcentral describes it as "partial 16S ribosomal RNA". It matches the Rfam family "Bacterial small subunit ribosomal RNA", at positions 354 to 796 of the family's 1533-position model. The record is from RNAcentral.
GUGGGGAAUUUUGGACAAUGGGCGCAAGCCUGAUCCAGCAAUGCCGCGUGCAGGAAGAAGGCCUUCGGGUUGUAAACUGCUUUUGUACGGAACGAAACGGUCCGGGUUAAUACCCUGGGCUAAUGACGGUACCGUAAGAAUAAGCACCGGCUAACUACGUGCCAGCAGCCGCGGUAAUACGUAGGGUGCAAGCGUUAAUCGGAAUUACUGGGCGUAAAGCGUGCGCAGGCGGUUGUGUAAGACAGGCGUGAAAUCCCCGGGCUCAACCUGGGAAUUGCGCUUGUGACUGUAAGGCUGGAGUGCGGCAGAGGGGGAUGGAAUUCCGCGUGUAGCAGUGAAAUGCGUAGAUAUGCGGAGGAACACCGAUGGCGAAGGCAAUCCCCUGGGCCUGCACUGACGCUCAUGCACGAAAGCGUGGGGAGCAAACAGGAUUAGAAACCCGAGUAGUCC